RNAcentral lists this ribosomal RNA (253 nucleotides) under uncultured bacterium. Its description in RNAcentral is "partial 16S ribosomal RNA". It matches the Rfam family "Bacterial small subunit ribosomal RNA", at positions 524 to 776 of the family's 1533-position model. The record is from RNAcentral.
UACGGAGGGUGCAAACGUUGCUCGGAAUCAUUGGGCGUAAAGAGCGUGUAGGCGGCCAGUCAGGUCCGUUGUGAAAACUCGAGGCUCAACCUCGAGACGCCGAUGGAAACCGACUGGCUAGAGUCCGGAAGAGGAGAGUGGAAUUCCCGGUGUAGCGGUGAAAUGCGCAGAUAUCGGGAAGAACACCCGUGGCUAAGGCGGCUCUCUAGUACGGUACUGACGCUGAGACGCGAAAGCGUGGGGAGCGAACAGG